This 253-nucleotide ribosomal RNA is filed under the name uncultured bacterium. RNAcentral's name for it is "partial 16S ribosomal RNA". It matches the Rfam family "Bacterial small subunit ribosomal RNA", at positions 524 to 776 of the family's 1533-position model. The record is from RNAcentral.
UACGGGGGGGGCAAGCGUUGUUCGGAAUUACUGGGCGUAAAGGGCUCGUAGGUGGCCAACUAAGUCAGACGUGAAAUCCCUCGGCUUAACCGGGGAACUGCGUCUGAUACUGGAUGGCUUGAGUUCGGGAGAGGGAUGCGGAAUUCCAGGUGUAGCGGUGAAAUGCGUAGAUAUCUGGAGGAACACCGGUGGCGAAGGCGGCUAUCUGGACCGACAUUGACGCUGAGGCGCGAAAGCGUGGGGAGCAAACAGG